UGCCCAGCAACUCCUAUCCCUACCUCCUCAUGGUACCGGCCAGAAACUACGAGCAACCUUAAGGAAGAUCGGGUAACCAUCUCCGGUGGGAACUUUGGUCGUUGGCUGACAAGAAAGGGAAGG
Non-coding RNA from Aedes albopictus (Asian tiger mosquito), 123 nucleotides. Lineage: Eukaryota; Metazoa; Arthropoda; Insecta; Diptera; Culicidae. The record is from Rfam.